UGGUGGCUCAAAACCAUCCGUAAUGGGGUC
Molecule: non-coding RNA, 30 nt
Filed under: Rattus norvegicus (Norway rat)
Lineage: Eukaryota; Metazoa; Chordata; Mammalia; Rodentia; Muridae
Source: RNAcentral